GCGGCCAUGCCGCACGUCGACUCCAGCCCUCUUCCAGCCGUGCCCUCCUCCCGCUGCGCCCUCCUUUGCUUCUGCUCUCCUCGAUCUCGUGGCGCCGUACAGUCUCCGUCUGCCCCCUGCUCUCCUCGGCCUCACGCCGCCGUACAGCCUCCAUCCGCCCUUGCUCUUCCUCGGCCUUGCGCCGCCAUGCAGCCUCCGAGCAGCUGCGACAACGGCCAGGUCCUGGCGGCGGCGGCUUCCGGCUAUUCACUCGGACCAACCACUCUGCUCUGAAUCUACUCAUCUGCUAUCCCGGUGUACUGCUGCAUCCUCCGCCGCCUUGCACUUGCGCCGGGGUGCUCUUGGCGUGCAGGGGCUGGCCAGCUCCUUCCUGGUGGCUUCGCACCCGCGAUUCAGUGGUGGCACUAUGAGAUACAAGAAGGGGCGACAACUAUAGUUUCUUUGGCAUAAUGAAACGAGCGGCCAUAAUUGCUACUGGCUGUAUGGGGUGAACCAAAAGCGGUGGGGGAGAGAGAUCAGAGCACGGCAUGUCGAGGAAGCCUGCAACUUCACACGGAGACGUGGUGGUGCUGCUACUCUCAACCCAAAUCAGAUCGAACUCGCCCCAGCCCAAAUCGAGUCACUUGUCCUCGGAUUGAACUUUCCAAUUCAUCCUUUCUACUUCCCCUAGUGCAUCGAGGGCAUGCGGCAGACGGGCCAUGCAUCUUCCUUACAGGCAAACAAUGCCAUCACAGCAGCCUCAAUCAGUUCUGAUUUCAUCAGCUUCCCAGGACCUGCUGGAUUUAACAGUCCAUCAUUUGCUACAGCAGAAGAACAAUCAGGUAUUAGUACAAAGAAAUAAUGAGUACUGUUGCUCCAGUUAUUACAAUAUCUAUGCAAAAAAAAAAACAUGUGACUGCACAUCAUGCUACUUUCUUUCCUGGUACUUUCUCCUUAUCCAUGGAAACCCAACAUGUAGCAUACCCUGCCUUCUCCCACAGCUGCCACUAUAUAUAAGUAAUUUGCUUAUUGAAUAAUUAUUUAAGAGACAAGCACCUCUAUUAGUAACACAGUUGUAAUUGGAUGGUAUACUAGAAAGUGCAUGAAUGCUGCCUCAAGCUUAUUUUUUCAUCUCAUUCAUAUCUAUUUAGUUGUAUACCGUGCUAUAGAUACAUAUUGGUUCCCUGCUGCAUGUAAAUUUGAUUAGGAUACAAUGAAAUUUCUUAUAAAUCUACUACCAGUCAAUAUUUAUUAACAAAAGAGCUUCAUUUCUAACCAUUUACAACCAAAGCUUAUCCUGCUCAGCAAUUUCGGUACUGAACUCAUGCUUUCAGCUGAAAAGGAACUUGAGAAGUCGUUUGGUACAAACAAGAACAAACAAGUGAUGACAGCUACAAUGCUGAUCCAGAUGAGGACUACUACACUGUAGACUGACCGAGAACCAGCUGAAUGGAAACAUUGAUGCUGAUAUCUAAUUUUGAGCCCCCUAUUUUUUUUAUGUUACAACUGCUGCCUUCUGAUGCCCUCAUUGCGGUGUUAAGCUUAAUGAGAACCUGCUGUCAUUCUUUUUGGGUUGUUUUUCUUCUCAAAUUUGGAAUAGGUAACACUGUAUGUCCUUACACAUGAAGUUGAUUGUGAACAAUAGGAGCAAGCAAUUCAGUUCCUUUAUUGUCCCUAUAAUACCUUGACAUUAUUCCUCUUUUAUUUAAUGAAUGCGAGUAAUUUUAGUUAGUAUUGUUAA
Panicum virgatum (switchgrass) is the source of this 1720-nucleotide long non-coding RNA. RefSeq lists it as uncharacterized. The record is from RefSeq and is a predicted model, not a curated record. NCBI's taxonomy places the organism in Eukaryota, Viridiplantae, Streptophyta, Magnoliopsida, Poales, Poaceae. The transcript has 5 exons.